AACGAACGCUGGCGGCGUGGAUAAGACAUGCAAGUCGAGCGCUCAUUCCGGGGUAGCAAUAUUCCGGAGUGGGAGCGGCGCAAGGGUGCGUAACACGUGGGUAAUCUGCCAUGAAGUUUGGGAUAACUUGCUGAAAGGCGAGCUAAUACCGGAUGGUGAAAAUCGGGUGGCAUCAUUUGAUUUUCAAAGCUGGGGACCGUAAGGCCUGGCGCUUCAUGAUGAGCCCGCGGCCUAAUCAGCUAGUUGGUGAGGUAACGGCUCACCAAGGCUAAGACGGGUAGCUGGUCUGAGAGGACGACCAGCCACACUGGAACUGAGACACGGUCCAGACACCUACGGGUGGCAGCAGUCGAGAAUUUUUCACAAUGGGCGCAAGCCUGAUGGAGCGACGCCGCGUGGGGAUGAAUGGCUUCGG
RNAcentral lists this ribosomal RNA (415 nucleotides) under uncultured bacterium. RNAcentral's name for it is "bacterial SSU rRNA". It matches the Rfam family "Bacterial small subunit ribosomal RNA", at positions 29 to 421 of the family's 1533-position model. The record is from RNAcentral.